AUUUAUCCACUAUAAUGACUUAGCAUUAACACCUUACAUUUUAAACUUCCCCGGAUAAACAGUGGUCAUAGACUGAAUAAAAAUGGACGUUGACUCUAUUUAACUUUUUAAGUGCCUUAAAGUGCAAUACCACCUGGAACCGCUAGGGCUCCAGAGAAUUACUAGCUUCGUGGACUGUCAUUCAAAAAGCGUCAAUUUAUCUAAUGAAAUACAAAGUCAAACAUUUUUCCCAUUAUGUCAUUAGCUAAUUUCACCCCUACUCAAUGUGGAUGUCCCAUAAUUAGUUAAAUAUUAGGCUUCAAAGAGAGCUAAUGUUGGAGGUGUAUUUGGGUUUAACUGACAUACAUUAUUUGUGAUUGACAACGAACCGAAAACUCGAGUCGCACGCAACACGUCUUCACACCGUUGUGUUACGAAGAUACAAGCUGACCUUGCUGCGCUGUGGGGCCGCGAUCUCCUCCGGAUGCCCUUGUAACACUGCAGGGAGAUACCCAGCUCCUCCAUCAUGGCGCUGAAAGACACGCACUGCCAAAGAGAGGAACGAAUGAGGGCCUGGGUGAAGACACCAGACCACAGAAAGUCUUCCUCUUUCAUCCUCAGGCUUUGCCCAAGGUUUUUCAUAUGGAUACGGCUUCCUGCAGUUUCCCAUGAAAACAGCAGCCUGCCACUCUCCAGAUCAGUAGAUAAGGAGGUACCGGAGGAGGAGGUGGAGCCACGUCGCUGAAACUGACGGGACUGCACCCCGUAAAAGAAACAAAAGGCCUGACGAAAGCAUGCAAAGAAAAAGGGAUGGAGGAGAAAACAC
Molecule: long non-coding RNA, 805 nt
Organism: Lates calcarifer (barramundi perch)
Lineage: Eukaryota; Metazoa; Chordata; Actinopteri; Centropomidae
Exons: 4
Source: RefSeq, a predicted model, not a curated record